Molecule: long non-coding RNA, 1413 nt
Organism: Aegilops tauschii subsp. strangulata
Lineage: Eukaryota; Viridiplantae; Streptophyta; Magnoliopsida; Poales; Poaceae
Source: RefSeq, a predicted model, not a curated record
GUUAACCAAACCGUAUCCGAAGAAUACGUUUUCGCUGACCAGAAACGUAUGCAUAUCUUUGGUCGUGUCCGUCAAGCACUCCUACUUGAUAACCUCUUCGCCUACAUAUAUCCAACCAAACAGAUCGAACGCCACACCCCAAAUCCAAUCCCCCGAUCAGCAGCAGAUCCACCGGCGGCAAGGGCGGCGUACCAUCGAUCGAUCCUCGGAGCUCGAAGCCGCGCCGCGGCGGAGGCGGGCGUCUCCCUUCCCGUCGCGUUAAUCGCCGUUCGAUCAGGCGGAGUCUCGCAGAGUCUGGCGGACUCGAUCGAGGAGCUGGGGAUUAAUUCCUCGGAGUUAGCUGCUAAUCCCCCAUCGCUUCAUCGCGGCACGAAUGAGAUGACUCAACCCGAUGAUCAUCACAUGGAGAUGGAGCAACUGGGGCACUCAGGGUCACUCGCGGCGCAAUUGUAUAGGCUGAAUUUUCUGGUGCACAACCAUUUUCAAAGGAGGAAGCUUGUGGUUCACAACCAUCUUCGCGUAUCACUGUUCUGGCACACAACAAUCUGAUGCGGAUGAUCAGAGGUUGUUGAUUUUGAGAAUCGAAAGGAUACUGAGAAAUGUAAGAAAGGAAGGAGAUGGCACCACGAUCAGAGAUGUGGAACCAUUUCAUCAAGAUUACGGAUGAAAAUAAUGCAAAUAUAUUGCGAUUUUGAUAUGAAGGCUGACACGAAGGACCAUGGUACGUUAUCCUUGAUCAGACACUUCAAUGUGUGCAAGCGCAACCCUCACAAGUUCAACAAAUAUCCAAAGCAGGGCACUUUGCAAGCAACUCAAGGGGAAGGCGUCCGGACUUGAGGUAUGAUCUUGACGCGCUUAGGGAAGCUUUUGCAGAGAUGAUCAUAGAAGGUGAGUUAGUGUUUGCUUAUUUUUAGAAGACGUGCUUUAGAAAUUUGAUGUCCAAAGCCUGCCCACGUUUCAAACCGCCAUCUAGAAGAACCUGUACCAGAGACACUGUGUGACUGUUCUUCCAAGAGAAGGCUAAGCUCAAGAACUUCUUCAAUGAUUCUUGUCAGCGAGUUUUCCUAACAACAUAUUGUUCGUCUUCUCGGUAACGAUAUGGAUAUAUGACUGUGACAACAAGUUUUAUUGAUGAAUCUUGGAGCCUACAGAAGAAAAUCAUUGGUUUUUUUAUUGGUGGAGGGGCACAAAGGGGGAUGAUAUAGGAAAAAACUUGGUGAGAUGCUUACCUGGUUGGGGUUUCGAGAGAUUAGUGACUGUAGUUGUUGAUAAUGACGGUGGUAUUGUUUAUUUGAGGAGGCAGCUGAGCAAAACACACAUCACUAACUGCAAGUUUUUGCACAUGAGGUCUCUUGCACACGUUGUUAACCUUAUUGUGCAACAUGGCAUAAAAGAAGUGGGCAUCUCUAUGAA